Balaenoptera acutorostrata (minke whale) is the source of this 1321-nucleotide long non-coding RNA. RefSeq lists it as uncharacterized. The transcript has 4 exons. The record is from RefSeq and is a predicted model, not a curated record. NCBI's taxonomy places the organism in Eukaryota, Metazoa, Chordata, Mammalia, Artiodactyla, Balaenopteridae.
GGGAUGCAUUACAAACUCUGAAUAGUGGCUCCUUUCUUUGCCACAGUGUUGCUGACUAGGAUGAAGGUGAGAGGAGAAGGCUGGAAGGAUGAAAUCUCUUGCCUGUGGAUAGCUGUCAAUCAACUCCAGAUGGAAGAAAAAUAUUUAUCUAGGCCAGAGGCUACUCCAGCCAAUGCAUCUGGGGACAGAGAGAGAUCAUCAGGGGACACGGGUUCGAGCCCUGGUCUGGGAAGAUCACACAUGCCGUGGAGCAACUGGGCCCGUGAGCCACAACUACUGAGCCUGCGCGUCUGAAGCCUGUGCUCCGCAACAAGAGAGGCCGCGAUAGUGAGAGGCCCACGCACCGCGAUGAAGAGUGGUCCCCGCUUGCCACAACUAGAGAAAGCGCUCGCACAGAAACGAAGACCCAACACAGCCAUAAAUAAAUAAAUAAAUAAAUUUUUUUUAAAAAAAAAGAAAGAGUCCUAAUUCUUUCCUCUUUCGAAGUUGACAUUAUCUCUAGGAAUUCAGAGAGCAAACACUGUAAACUCAGGCAUGGGUCUAUGUCAUUAGAGUUUACAUCAGGUUGUUCACCCAGCCCCAAAGAACUUCUUAAUUCGCUCUUCCAAAUAGGGGGUCAAUCAUACAUAUACUGUAGGACUCAUUUAUCGUUUAAUACAUUUAGUAAUGGGGCCUAGAAUUUUUUUUCCUUUUAAGUUCAUGAAUAUAUGAAAUAAUCUUGGUCCCAUGAAAUUAUCCAAAAUGUUCAACAGAUAGAUGGGUUACAGCCAUUCUACUAGAGAAUUUUUCAUUGGAAAAUCUUAAAUAUGAAAGUUUCCAAAUAUUGGAUCCAAAUAGUCCAAAUAGUUUUUAUCUGUGUCCUCUCCCCAUCAAAAAUGCCCAGAACAAUUUUUCUACAACUUAGCAAUGGAAAAAUUUUCAAUUUUCUGAACUUCAGCAUGAAUCUAACGAACCCACACUGGAAGCUAUCUUAAAGGAAGAACAUCUCUCUCUACACUUGAAAAUACUAAAGAAAUGCCAAAUGAUUCCCAAAUUUUGGUAAUAUUAUAUCUAAAAUGAGGUCAUCUUCAAAUGUGGCUUUCUGGCUUUAUUUAUGGAAACCUGUGGUACGGUCCUUAGUUUUCUGACAACACUUAUUCCUAUAUUACCUAAUAUCCUUGAAUAAUUUUGCCUUCCUUGUUCAUGGCAUAACCACUGUAUGCCAUGAGCUGCUAAGAAAUACAAUUAAAAGCAAAUGAGAAAGACAAGCUUUACAUGCAAAGUGCGAUUUCAUGUAAGAGGAAUGGAACGGAAAGAAGAAAUAUCCAGUGGGAUAUGAACU